Non-coding RNA from Populus trichocarpa (black cottonwood), 141 nucleotides. The record is from Rfam. NCBI's taxonomy places the organism in Eukaryota, Viridiplantae, Streptophyta, Magnoliopsida, Malpighiales, Salicaceae.
UUGUUUGCGGGUGGAGCAUCAUCAAGAUUCACAUGCAAAUGCACGGCCGGUGAUGUUAAGAGUUAAAUCUUUCUUUGUUUCUGUUCAUCUGCCAAAGUUCUUUGGAAGUGAGAAUCUUGAUGAUGCUGCAUCGGCAAUAAA